RNAcentral lists this ribosomal RNA (502 nucleotides) under uncultured bacterium. Its description in RNAcentral is "partial 16S ribosomal RNA". It matches the Rfam family "Bacterial small subunit ribosomal RNA", at positions 28 to 523 of the family's 1533-position model. The record is from RNAcentral.
GACGAACGCUGGCGGCGUGCUUAACACAUGCAAGUCGAACGGCAGCAUGGGUGCUUGCACCUGAUGGCGAGUGGCGAACGGGUGAGUAAUGCAUCGGAACGUACCCGGAAGUGGGGGAUAACGUAGCGAAAGUUACGCUAAUACCGCAUAUUCUGUGAGCAGGAAAGCGGGGGAUCGCAAGACCUCGCGCUUCCGGAGCGGCCGGUGUCGGAUUAGCUAGUUGGCGGGGUAAAGGCCCACCAAGGCAACGAUCCGUAGCGGGUCUGAGAGGAUGAUCCGCCAAGCUGGGACUGAGACACGGCCAAGAAUCCUACGGGAGGCAGCAGUGGGGAAUUUUGGACAAUGGGCGCAAGCCUGAUCCAGCCAUGCCGCGUGAGUGAAGAAGGCCUUCGGGUUGUAAAGCUCUUGCGGCUGGGAAGAAAUCGCAUCUCCUAAUACGGGGUGUGGAUGACGGUACCAGCAUAAGAAGCACCGGCUAACUACGUGCCAGCAGCCGCCGUAA